CGGACGGGUGAGUAAUGUCUGGGAAACGUGCCUGAUGGAGGGGGAUAACUACUGGAAACGGUAGCUAAUACCGCAUAACGUCGCAAGACCAAAGAGGGGGACCUUCGGGCCUCUUGCCAUCGGAUGUGCCCAGAUGGGAUUAGCUAGUAGGUGGGGUAAAGGCUCACCUAGGCGACGAUCCCUAGCUGGUCUGAGAGGAUGACCAGCCACACUGGAACUGAGACACGGUCCAG
RNAcentral lists this ribosomal RNA (233 nucleotides) under uncultured bacterium. Its description in RNAcentral is "partial 16S ribosomal RNA". It matches the Rfam family "Bacterial small subunit ribosomal RNA", at positions 99 to 334 of the family's 1533-position model. The record is from RNAcentral.